AUGCUUUCAUUCUUCUUUAUCACACUUUCAAUGAAAUCCAGGGAUAAAACAUGCCCAGCUACUUUUGCCAGAUCACCAGUAAAGCGACCUAUACCGGCUCCAAGCUCCAAGAUAGAUUUUCCUUCAAAAGGCGGUAGCAGGGAAAGGAUCUCAGGCCUCUCCUCCUUGUCGAGAUCCGACGCCUGCGAAUCCAGCAUCAUCGCCUCCACCGUCAGCUCCUUGGAAUGCUCGAUCCAGUAGCUCUUCUGCACCACCCGCUCCUCCUCGCCGUGCGCAAUGGACGCCAUUGUUGUUCAAUUAGGGUUAGGGUUUGCUAGGGCUAAGAACCCUCGAUUGCGAGCCGAGAUCUGGAGAAAGACCUUGAUCUACGGUUAGUCGAACUCCCCUUCUGUUGCAUUAAACUCCCUCUCUUUCAGAUCUG
RNAcentral lists this unclassified non-coding RNA (421 nucleotides) under Hevea brasiliensis (rubber tree). Lineage: Eukaryota; Viridiplantae; Streptophyta; Magnoliopsida; Malpighiales; Euphorbiaceae. The record is from RNAcentral.